ACAAAUUUUAAUAAAUCAAAGGCUGAAUUUUCGUCCACCACAAGAGCCCUAUAUAUAGGCGAAAAAUAAAGAGACCUGGUCUAAUAAGGAAACAACUAAACCUAAUCACACCCUAAUUUAAAAAAAAAAACUAAUUCAGCCAAACAAGGUCCUUACUAAUUAAAAUUCGAAAAUAAUAAAUAAAUGCAAAAUAAAUAAAAUCUUCAAUCUUCUUCGACCCCUUGCACGUAAGUCCAACUCACCAACUUCAUCACCUCCCGGGUCUUGCACGAACGAACCUUGGGCUGCAUCACCUCCACCUAAACAUUUUCCCACAACUUCACCUCCGCCG
RNAcentral lists this long non-coding RNA (331 nucleotides) under Salvia miltiorrhiza (redroot sage). Its description in RNAcentral is "long non-coding RNA (SMIL_LNC000267)". Lineage: Eukaryota; Viridiplantae; Streptophyta; Magnoliopsida; Lamiales; Lamiaceae. The record is from RNAcentral.